Anguilla rostrata (American eel) is the source of this 1801-nucleotide long non-coding RNA. RefSeq lists it as uncharacterized. NCBI's taxonomy places the organism in Eukaryota, Metazoa, Chordata, Actinopteri, Anguilliformes, Anguillidae. The transcript is spliced from 3 exons. The record is from RefSeq and is a predicted model, not a curated record.
CCCACUCUCCAACCCACACCCUUCCCCAUUACCCACACCCUGCAACACCCCACUCUCCAACCCACACCCUUCCCCAUUACCCACAUCCUGCAACACCCCACUCUCCAACCCACACCCUUCCCCAUUACCCACAUCCUGCAACACCCCACUCUCCAACCCACACCCUUCCCCAUUACCCACAUCCUGCAACACCCCACUCUCCAACCCACACCCUUCCCCAUUACCCACAUCCUGCAACACCCCACUCUCCAACCCAUACCUGCCCCAACAACUCCACACCCUGCAACACCCCACCCGCCAAACUACACCCUGCCCCAACUACUCCACACCCUGCAACACCCCACCCUCUGACCCACACCCUGUCCAAACCACCCACUCCAAUCCAAAACCUGCACUCCAAUCACCACACCCUGCCAAAAUACCCACUCCCUCCCACACAAAGCAGGAAUGAUAUUAAUAGUUGAGAGGCUGGCUAUUGUUCUCAUCGUCAUGGUUGCUGGUUUAUCACACAGAGGUAGCCCCACGGAGGUCCCAGCCUGUGCUGUUAUUCCUUGUGUUACAUCACCUUUAUCAUGACUUAGGCUGAACUUUUUCCAUCUCAUCAAAAAGAAACAGCCUUCUCCCUGAUCAUGGUUCGGUAUGUUUGCACAGGAUUAAGUGAUGAAGACAAGCUUGUAAUCGUAUUUCAACAUUUCAGACAGUGCUUGGUGAUGUUUCUGCCACACCACAAAAAAAACAGAUUUAGUCCAAGCAUUCCUCAAAUCAGUUUUUAUUUGGAUGUUGUCAUAUCAAAGCCAUAAUAUGCAAAUGCUGGGAUAAACAUGGGGAAUAGCAACUUUAAAGACUUCAGCAGCAACAUAAACUCUGUCAAACCAGCCUGGUCAGCCUGCAAAAACACAAUGGCAAACACACUGGAGCAUCAGCAUUCAUUUCCAGUACAGCACCAUGAGUGAAGUACAUAUAGUUGAAACCUUAUAGUUGCAGCUGAAGCCAUACAGAUCUGUUUGAAUUCCAUGGUAAUCAUCCUACAUGCAGUGCCGAUGUUGGGGGACAUUGGUUUUGCCAUUUAAAGAAGCAUAGUGAGCAUAGAACAAUUCAGGUUUAGGUAAAUAUUCCAUAUUCCAACAUUCUCCAGUGUGUUAACCUGCCCCCCCCCCCCCCCCCCCCAAAACACACACACACACACAUACACACAGACACACACAGUUUUCUAAGAUGAAAAAGUGUGUGUACGGCUGAAAAAUUUUAGUAGGUAUUCUUUUAUUGAAGAAUAGCAUGCAUGACAAUGUAAUCAUUUAACUUUUUAAUCUGAGUACAUGUUUUAUGUACUUCAAUUUAGAUCCUAAGCAGGAUCUUAAUCUCAGGAAGAUUUUAUCUGAAAGAUCGCUUGUUGGUAGUAUGCGUGUUCUCUGUUUCUCCAAUGGGUGGCGUGUUUCUUUUAGAAGAAUUGCCAUUAUCUGAAUAUGCUGUGCUGGUUUGCAGUUCAUCAUAUUGUCAGAUGGUGGUGCUGUUGUUCUGUAUCCAUAAAGGCUCUGGGCCAUGUUAAAAACCUGUUUCUCUUUGCUUUCUUGCAUUCCCCUUCCAGGAGUGCAGUUUCUCUGGGGUGUCUCUGAUUCCACAUCACAUGCAAUCGUUGCCCAUCCAUCACUGGCAUGGCCACCGGAACAGCAUCAAUCCCUCUGUCAAAGCCCUCACUACCAGGGGCAAAUGAAAGAGAGAAAGAGAAGAAGAGAAGAAAGGGACUCUAAACACCUCGUGAUUUAAAACUCAGCCGCAGAGAGAGCACUGCCACAUCGUACGG